GGAGAGGUGGCCGAGUGGUCUAAGGCGCAGCACUGGAAAUGCUGUGUGGGGGCAACUUCACCGUGGGUUCGAAUCCCACCCUCUCCG
Molecule: transfer RNA, 87 nt
Filed under: Synechococcaceae cyanobacterium SM2_3_1
Lineage: Bacteria; Bacillati; Cyanobacteriota; Cyanophyceae; Synechococcales; Synechococcaceae
Description: tRNA-Ser
Rfam family: tRNA
About the family: Transfer RNA (tRNA) molecules are approximately 80 nucleotides in length. Their secondary structure includes four short double-helical elements and three loops (D, anti-codon, and T loops).
Source: RNAcentral